CCCGGAGAACUGAAACAUCUUAGUAACCGGAGGAAGAGAAAGAAAAUUCGAUUCCCUUAGUAGCGGCGAGCGAAACGGGAAGAGCCCAAACCAACAAGCUUGCUUGUUGGGGUUGUAGGACACUCUAUACGGAGUUACAAAGGACGACAUUAGACGAAUCAUCUGGAAAGAUGAAUCAAAGAAGGUAAUAAUCCUGUAGUCGAAAAUGUUGUCUCUCUUGAGUGGAUCCUGAGUACGACGGAGCACGUGAAAUUCCGUCGGAAUCUGGGAGGACCAUCUCCUAAGGCUAAAUACUCUCUAGUGACCGAUAGUGAACCAGUACCGUGAGGGAAAGGUGAAAAGCACCCCGGAAGGGGAGUGAAAUAGAACCUGAAACCGUGUGCUUACAAGUAGUCAGAGCCCGUUAAUGGGUGAUGGCGUGCCUUUUGUAGAAUGAACCGGCGAGUUACGAUUUGAUGCAAGGUUAAGCAGUAAAUGUGGAGCCGUAGCGAAAGCGAGUCUGAAUAGGGCGUUUAGUAUUUGGUCGUAGACCCGAAACCAGGUGAUCUACCCUUGGUCAGGUUGAAGUUCAGGUAACACUGAAUGGAGGACCGAACCGACUUACGUUGAAAAGUGAGCGGAUGAACUGAGGGUAGCGGAGAAAUUCCAAUCGAACCUGGAGAUAGCUGGUUCUCUCCGAAAUAGCUUUAGGGCUAGCCUCAAGUGAUGAUUAUUGGAGGUAGAGCACUGUUUGGACGAGGGGCCCCUCUCGGGUUACCGAAUUCAGACAAACUCCGAAUGCCAAUUAAUUUAACUUGGGAGUCAGAACAUGGGUGAUAAGGUCCGUGUUCGAAAGGGAAACAGCCCAGACCACCAGCUAAGGUCCCAAAAUAUAUGUUAAGUGGAAAAGGAUGUGGCGUUGCCCAGACAACUAGGAUGUUGGCUUAGAAGCAGCCAUCAUUUAAAGAGUGCGUAAUAGCUCACUAGUCGAGUGACACUGCGCCGAAAAUGUACCGGGGCUAAACAUAUUACCGAAGCUGUGGAUUGUCCUUUGGACAAUGGUAGGAGAGCGUUCUAAGGGCGUUGAAGCAUGAUCGUAAGGACAUGUGGAGCGCUUAGAAGUGAGAAUGCCGGUGUGAGUAGCGAAAGACGGGUGAGAAUCCCGUCCACCGAUUGACUAAGGUUUCCAGAGGAAGGCUCGUCCGCUCUGGGUUAGUCGGGUCCUAAGCUGAGGCCGACAGGCGUAGGCGAUGGAUAACAGGUUGAUAUUCCUGUACCACCUAUAAUCGUUUUAAUCGAUGGGGGGACGCAGUAGGAUAGGCGAAGCGUGCGAUUGGAUUGCACGUCUAAGCAGUAAGGCUGAGUAUUAGGCAAAUCCGGUACUCGUUAAGGCUGAGCUGUGAUGGGGAGAAGACAUUGUGUCUUCGAGUCGUUGAUUUCACACUGCCGAGAAAAGCCUCUAGAUAGAAAAUAGGUGCCCGUACCGCAAACCGACACAGGUAGUCAAGAUGAGAAUUCUAAGGUGAGCGAGCGAACUCUCGUUAAGGAACUCGGCAAAAUGACCCCGUAACUUCGGGAGAAGGGGUGCUCUUUAGGGUUAACGCCCAGAAGAGCCGCAGUGAAUAGGCCCAAGCGACUGUUUAUCAAAAACACAGGUCUCUGCUAAACCGUAAGGUGAUGUAUAGGGGCUGACGCCUGCCCGGUGCUGGAAGGUUAAGAGGAGUGGUUAGCUUCUGCGAAGCUACGAAUCGAAGCCCCAGUAAACGGCGGCCGUAACUAUAACGGUCCUAAGGUAGCGAAAUUCCUUGUCGGGUAAGUUCCGACCCGCACGAAAGGCGUAACGAUUUGGGCACUGUCUCAACGAGAGACUCGGUGAAAUCAUAGUACCUGUGAAGAUGCAGGUUACCCGCGACAGGACGGAAAGACCCCGUGGAGCUUUACUGUAGCCUGAUAUUGAAAUUCGGCACAGCUUGUACAGGAUAGGUAGGAGCCUUUGAAACGUGAGCGCUAGCUUACGUGGAGGCGCUGGUGGGAUACUACCCUAGCUGUGUUGGCUUUCUAACCCGCACCACUUAUCGUGGUGGGAGACAGUGUCAGGCGGGCAGUUUGACUGGGGCGGUCGCCUCCUAAAAGGUAACGGAGGCGCUCAAAGGUUCCCUCAGAAUGGUUGGAAAUCAUUCAUAGAGUGUAAAGGCAUAAGGGAGCUUGACUGCGAGACCUACAAGUCGAGCAGGGUCGAAAGACGGACUUAGUGAUCCGGUGGUUCCGCAUGGAAGGGCCAUCGCUCAACGGAUAAAAGCUACCCCGGGGAUAACAGGCUUAUCUCCCCCAAGAGUUCACAUCGACGGGGAGGUUUGGCACCUCGAUGUCGGCUCAUCGCAUCCUGGGGCUGUAGUCGGUCCCAAGGGUUGGGCUGUUCGCCCAUUAAAGCGGUACGCGAGCUGGGUUCAGAACGUCGUGAGACAGUUCGGUCCCUAUCCGUCGUGGGCGUAGGAAAUUUGAGAGGAGCUGUCCUUAGUACGAGAGGACCGGGAUGGACAUACCUCUGGUGUACCAGUUGUCGUGCCAACGGCAUAGCUGGGUAGCUAUGUGUGGACGGGAUAAGUGCUGAAAGCAUCUAAGCAUGAAGCCCCCCUCAAGAUGAGAUUUCCCAACUUCGGUUAU
RNAcentral lists this ribosomal RNA (2643 nucleotides) under Staphylococcus aureus. RNAcentral describes it as "bacterial LSU rRNA". It matches the Rfam family "Bacterial large subunit ribosomal RNA". Lineage: Bacteria; Bacillati; Bacillota; Bacilli; Caryophanales; Staphylococcaceae. The record is from RNAcentral.